GACGAACGCUGGCGGCGUGCUUAACACAUGCAAGUCGAACGGAAAGGCCCUGCUUUUGUGGGGUGCUCGAGUGGCGAACGGGUGAGUAACACGUGAGUAACCUGCCCUUGACUUUGGGAUAACUUCAGGAAACUGGGGCUAAUACCGGAUAGGAGCUCCUGCUGCAUGGUGGGGGUUGGAAAGUUUCGGCGGUUGGGGAUGGACUCGCGGCUUAUCAGCUUGUUGGUGGGGUAGUGGCUUACCAAGGCUUUGACGGGUAGCCGGCCUGAGAGGGUGACCGGCCACAUGGGGACUGAGAUACGGCCCAGACUCAUACGGGGGGCAGGAGUGGGGAAUAUUGCACAAUGGGCGGAAGCCUGAGGCAGCAACGCCGCGUGCGGGAUGACGGCUUUCGGGUUGUAAACCGCUUUCGCCUGUGACGAAGCGUGAGUGACGGUAAUGGGUAAAGAAGCACCGGCUAACUACGG
This 467-nucleotide ribosomal RNA is filed under the name uncultured bacterium. Its description in RNAcentral is "partial 16S ribosomal RNA". It matches the Rfam family "Bacterial small subunit ribosomal RNA", at positions 28 to 506 of the family's 1533-position model. The record is from RNAcentral.